Molecule: transfer RNA, 74 nt
Filed under: Phycisphaerales bacterium
Lineage: Bacteria; Pseudomonadati; Planctomycetota; Phycisphaerae; Phycisphaerales
Description: tRNA-Arg
Rfam family: tRNA
About the family: Transfer RNA (tRNA) molecules are approximately 80 nucleotides in length. Their secondary structure includes four short double-helical elements and three loops (D, anti-codon, and T loops).
Source: RNAcentral
GCACCCGUAGCUCAGCUGGAUAGAGCACCGGUUUCCGGAACCGAAGGUCACAGGUUCGAGUCCUGUCGGGUGUA